This 675-nucleotide ribosomal RNA is filed under the name Fundulus luciae (spotfin kllifish). RNAcentral describes it as "partial small subunit ribosomal RNA". It matches the Rfam family "Bacterial small subunit ribosomal RNA", at positions 512 to 1502 of the family's 1533-position model. The record is from RNAcentral. Lineage: Eukaryota; Metazoa; Chordata; Actinopteri; Cyprinodontiformes; Fundulidae.
CCACCGCGGUUAAACGAGAGGCUCAAGUUGAUAGUCUUCGGCGUAAAGCGUGGUUAAGAAAUUAUUAAACUAAAGUCGAAUUUUCUCAUAGCUGUUUAAAGCAUCCGGGAAUAUGAAGUCCAAACACGAAAGUAGCUUUAAAUAAUCUGACCCCACGAAAGCUGUGGAACAAACUGGGAUUAGAUACCCCACUAUGCACAGCCAUAAACUUUGAUAAAAAUAUACAAUAUUAUCCGCCCGGGUACUACGAGCAUGAGCUUAAAACCCAAAGGACUUGGCGGUGCUUUAGAUCCACCUAGAGGAGCCUGUUCUAGAACCGAUAAUCCCCGUUAAACCUCACCCUCUCUAGUCAUUUCAGCCUAUAUACCGCCGUCGUCAGCCCACCCUGUGAAGGAAAUAAAGUGUGCCUAAUUGGUAGAACCCAAAACGUCAGGUCAAGGUGUAGUAUAUGAGAGGGGAAGAAAUGGGCUACAUUUCCUGCUCAAGGAAAUACGAAUUGUUUUAUGAAAUGAUUACAUGAAGGAGGAUUUAGUAGUAAGUGAUAAAUAGAGUGUCUCACUGAAUAUGGCUCUGAAGCAUGCACACACCGCCCGUCACUCUCCCCAAGCUUAAAAAAUAAAUAUUUUUCAAUAACCUAACAAAGCAAAGGGGAGGCAAGUCGUAACAUGGUAAGUG